AUUGAACGCUGGCGGCAGGCUUAACACAUGCAAGUCGAGCGGGGGAAGGUAGCUUGCUACUGGACCUAGCGGCGGACGGGUGAGUAAUGCUUAGGAAUCUGCCUAUUAGUGGGGGACAACAUCUCGAAAGGGAUGCUAAUACCGCAUACGUCCUCCGGGAGAAAGCAGGGGAUCUUCGGACCUUGCGCUAAUAGAUGAGCCUAAGUCGGAUUAGCUAGUUGGUGGGGUAAAGGCCUACCAGGGCGACGAUCUGUAGCGGGUCUGAGAGGAUGAUCCGCCACACUGGGACUGAGACACGGCCCAGACUCCUACGGGAGGCAGCAGUGGGGAAUAUUGGACAAUGGGGGGAACCCUGAUCCAGCCAUGCCGCGUGUGUGAAGAAGGCCUUAUGGUUGUAAAGCACUUUAAGCGAGGAGGAGGCUACUCUAGUUAAUACCUAGGGAUAGUGGACGUUACUCGCAGAAUAAGCACCGGCUAACUCUGUGCCAGCCGCCGCAGUAA
RNAcentral lists this ribosomal RNA (501 nucleotides) under uncultured bacterium. Its description in RNAcentral is "partial 16S ribosomal RNA". It matches the Rfam family "Bacterial small subunit ribosomal RNA", at positions 30 to 523 of the family's 1533-position model. The record is from RNAcentral.